AACGUAGGAUCCGAGCGUUGUCCGGAAUCACUGGGUGUAAAGGGUGCGUAGGCGGGCUUGCGCGUCAAGGGUUAAAGACCUCGGCUCAACCGAGGGAAUGCCCUUGAUACGGCAGGCCUUGAGUGCGGGAGAGGAUGGUGGAAUUCCUGGUGUAGCGGGAAAAUGCGUAGAGAUCAGGAGGAACACCGACGGGGAAGGCAGCCAUCUGGACCGCCACUGACGCUGAGGCACGAAAGCGUGGGGAGCAAACAGG
Molecule: ribosomal RNA, 253 nt
Filed under: uncultured bacterium
Lineage: Bacteria
Description: partial 16S ribosomal RNA
Rfam family: Bacterial small subunit ribosomal RNA
Source: RNAcentral